RNAcentral lists this ribosomal RNA (253 nucleotides) under uncultured bacterium. RNAcentral's name for it is "partial 16S ribosomal RNA". It matches the Rfam family "Bacterial small subunit ribosomal RNA", at positions 524 to 776 of the family's 1533-position model. The record is from RNAcentral.
GACGAACCGUGCGAACGUUGUUCGGAAUCACUGGGCGUAAAGCGCACGUAGGCGGCUUUGUAAGUUAGAGGUGAAAGCCCGGGGCUCAACUCCGGAAUUGCCUUUAAGACUGCAUCGCUAGAAUUGUGGAGAGGUAAGUGGAAUUCCGAGUGUAGAGGUGAAAUUCGUAGAUAUUCGGAAGAACACCAGUGGCGAAGGCGACUUACUGGACACAUAUUGACGCUGAGGUGCGAAAGCGUGGGGAGCAAACAGG